GGGCCUAUAGCUCAGCUGGUUCAGAGCAUCUGCCUUACAAGCAGAGGGUCACAGGUUCGAAUCCUGUUGGGCCCA
RNAcentral lists this transfer RNA (75 nucleotides) under Prevotellaceae bacterium. RNAcentral describes it as "tRNA-Val". It matches the Rfam family "tRNA". Rfam says of the family: Transfer RNA (tRNA) molecules are approximately 80 nucleotides in length. The record is from RNAcentral. Lineage: Bacteria; Pseudomonadati; Bacteroidota; Bacteroidia; Bacteroidales; Prevotellaceae.